GAUGAACGCUAGCGAUAGGCUUAACACAUGCAAGUCGAGGGGCAGCAUGGUCUUAGCUUGCUAAGACUGAUGGCGACCGGCGCACGGGUGCGUAACGCGUAUGCAACUUGCCUCACAGAGGGGGAUAACCCGUCGAAAGACGGACUAAUACCGCGUACACUUGGGAUAGGGCAUCCUGACCCAAGGAAAUGAAAUUCGCUGUGAGAUAGGCAUGCGUCCCAUUAGCUAGUUGGUGAGGUAACGGCUCACCAAGGCGACGAUGGGUAGGGGAACUGAGAGGUUGAACCCCCACACUGGUACUGAGACACGGACCAGGCUCCUACGGGAGGCAGCAGUGAGGAAUAUUGGUCAAUGGGCGAGAGCCUGAACCAGCCAAGUCGCGUGAAGGAUGACUGUCUUAUGGAUUGUAAACUUCUUUUAUACGGGAAUAACAAGGGCCACGUGUGGCUCCCUGCAUGUACCGUAUGAAUAAGCAUCGGCUAACUCCGUG
Molecule: ribosomal RNA, 490 nt
Filed under: uncultured bacterium
Lineage: Bacteria
Description: partial 16S ribosomal RNA
Rfam family: Bacterial small subunit ribosomal RNA
Source: RNAcentral